This 253-nucleotide ribosomal RNA is filed under the name uncultured bacterium. RNAcentral describes it as "partial 16S ribosomal RNA". It matches the Rfam family "Bacterial small subunit ribosomal RNA", at positions 524 to 776 of the family's 1533-position model. The record is from RNAcentral.
UACGGAGGGUGCAAGCGUUGUUCGGAUUUACUGGGCGUAAAGCGCGCGCAGGUGGGUGAACAAGUCGGAAGUGAAAUCUUGAGGCUCAACCUCGGGCCUGCAGUCGAUACGGGCAAACUAGAGUACUGCAGGGGAGACUGGAAUUCCUGGUGUAGCGGUGAAAUGCGCAGAUAUCAGGAGGAACACCGGUGGCGAAGGCGGGUCUCUGGGCAGUAACUGACGCUGAGGAGCGAAAGCGUGGGGAGCGAACAGG